RNAcentral lists this ribosomal RNA (322 nucleotides) under uncultured eukaryote. RNAcentral's name for it is "partial 18S ribosomal RNA". It matches the Rfam family "Eukaryotic small subunit ribosomal RNA", at positions 1470 to 1796 of the family's 1831-position model. The record is from RNAcentral.
CCCUUAGAUGUUCUGGGCCGCACGCGCGCUACACUGAUACGUUCAGCAAGUCUACCACCUCGGCCGAGAGGCCCGGGUAAUCUUCUGAAAGCGUAUCGUGAUGGGGAUAGAUUAUUGCAAUUUUUAAUCUUCAACGAGGAAUUCCUAGUAAACGCAAGUCAUCAACUUGCAUUGAUUACGUCCCUGCCUUUUGUACACACCGCCCGUCGCACCUACCGAUUGAAUGGUCCGGUGAAAUCUCGGGACGGCGGCUUGGUCGCUUGCGUCCGACUGCUGAAACUUGAUUAAACCAUAUCAUUUAGAGGAAGGUGAAGUCGUAACA